UACGUAGGGACCAAGCGUUGCUCGGAUUUACUGGGCGUAAAGGGCGCGUAGGCGGCGUGGUAAGUCACUUGUGAAAUCUCUGAGCUUAACUCAGAACUGCCAAGUGAUACUGCUGUGCUCGAGUGUGGAAGGGGCAAUCGGAAUUCUUGGUGUAGCGGUGGAAUGCGUAGAGAUCGGGAGGAACACCAGUGGCGAAGGCGACUUCCUGGGCUGUUCUUGACGCUGAGGCGCGAAAGCUAGGGUAGCAAACGGG
This 253-nucleotide ribosomal RNA is filed under the name uncultured bacterium. Its description in RNAcentral is "partial 16S ribosomal RNA". It matches the Rfam family "Bacterial small subunit ribosomal RNA", at positions 524 to 776 of the family's 1533-position model. The record is from RNAcentral.